RNAcentral lists this ribosomal RNA (497 nucleotides) under uncultured bacterium. Its description in RNAcentral is "partial 16S ribosomal RNA". It matches the Rfam family "Bacterial small subunit ribosomal RNA", at positions 28 to 507 of the family's 1533-position model. The record is from RNAcentral.
GAUGAACGCUGGCGGCGUGCCUAAUACAUGCAAGUCGAGCGAACAGAUGAGGAGCUUGCUCCUCUGACGUUAGCGGCGGACGGGUGAGUAACACGUGGAUAACCUACCUAUAAGACUGGGAUAACUUCGGGAAACCGGAGCUAAUACCGGAUAAUAUAUUGAACCGCAUGGUUCAAUAGUGAAAGACGGUUUUGCUGUCACUUAUAGAUGGAUCCGCGCCGCAUUAGCUAGUUGGUAAGGUAACGGCUUACCAAGGCAACGAGGCGUAGCCGACCUGAGAGGGUGAUCGGCCACACUGGAACUGAGACACGGUCCAGACUCCUACGGGAGGCAGCAGUAGGGAAUCUUCCGCAAUAGGCGAAAGCCUGACGGAGCAACGCCGCGUGAGUGAUGAAGGUCUUCGGAUCGGAAAACUCUGUUAUUAGGGAAGAACAAAUGUGUAAGUAACUAUGCACGUCUUGACGGUACCUAAUCAGAAAGCCACGGCUAACUACGUG